This 510-nucleotide ribosomal RNA is filed under the name uncultured bacterium. RNAcentral describes it as "partial 16S ribosomal RNA". It matches the Rfam family "Bacterial small subunit ribosomal RNA", at positions 28 to 507 of the family's 1533-position model. The record is from RNAcentral.
GACGAACGCUGGCGGCGUGCUUAACACAUGCAAGUCGAACGAAGAGCGAUGGAAGCUUGCUUCUAUCAAUCUUAGUGGCGCACGGGUGAGUAACGCGUAAUCAACCUGCCCUUCAGAGGGGGACAACAGUUGGAAACGACUGCUAAUACCGCAUACGAUCUAAUCUCGGCAUCGAGGAUAGAUGAAAGGUGGCCUCUACAUGUAAGCUAUCACUGAAGGUGGGGAUUGCGUCUGAUUAGCUAGUUGGAGGGGUAACGGCCCACCAAGGCGAUGAUCAGUAGCCGGUCUGAGAGGAUGAACGGCCACAUUGGGACUGAGACACGGCCCAGACUCCUACGGGAGGCAGCAGUGGGGAAUCUUCCGCAAUGGACGAAAGUCUGACGGAGCAACGCCGCGUGAGUGAUGACGGCCUUCGGGUUGGAAAGCUCUGUUAAUCGGGACGAAAGGCCUUCUUGCGAAUAGUGAGAAGGAUUGACGGUACCGGAAGAGAAAGCCACGGCUAACUACGUG